CAUCGUGUGGUUAUAAAUUAUUUUAAAAUUUUUAUUUAAAAUUAAACACAAAUAAUAUCAGAUAAAAACUAAUCGCAUAAUUUACAAUAAACGGGUACGAUUAAAGAAUCUUCUCGAACCUCACAAAAAAGAUCUAAAGAGGAUCCUCAUUCUUUUUUUUUUGAGGUGAGUCGUGAAAUUUUCAAAAGCUUAUAUUUUAUUGGAUAAUACUUACAUUUCACUUUGACCAGAUGAGCUCAUCAUUUUAGGAGUAAUAACUUACUUACUAUCUAUUUGUAUUAUCUUUCUAAUAAAUGUAUGGUUCACCAACACAUGUGAAUCUUAUUUUUAUUAAAGAAAUUGUAUAAAUAGAUAGUAAAAUAGACGGUAAAAAUAGCAUUUUUAUUUUUUCACUUACAAAUAACGUAUUCUAAACAUAGAAAUUUUAUAAUCAUAAUUUCUUAAUUUCUUAAUCUUCAUUUGAAUAGCAUUCUAACAAUAAAACAUUCGAAACGUUAUUUAGUCAUCCAGACAUACUAAAAAAUCUCUUACCUACACCGUUCUAAUUGAUAAAGUUAGAUAAGUAAACGAUCUCCAUUUUGAAUAAGUUUUUGUAAGAAAUUCAACAGUCCCAAUUAAGAAAUUUCCAUAACGAAUAUACGUUAUUUGCAAGUGGAGAAUGAGUUCAUCCCCCAAGGAGAGAAUGCAAGCAUUAUUCCUUAUAAGGUUUAUAUAUUAUUUGCCCUUUGAAACUAUCAUUUAAUAUCAAUUUCUCAUGAAACUGGCCAAUAUAGAGCAAUUUCAUCUUAUUUUCAUCUAUUCCAUUAGAUAAACUUUAAAUGAAAAUGUAUUAUGAACUUUUCCUUUUGGAACAGGCAAAAAUAAAGGGAAAUAUAAAGAUUUAACAUGGGAUUUAUAAUGACUAGCAAGCAUAUACUUUAAUCAUUGACACUCAAUAGUGCAGUGCGAUCAAUGAUGGAUAUAACCCAAGCCUUUAAUCAUAGACACUCGCUAGUGCAAUGCGAUCCAUGUAGAGAAUGAGAGCUUUGCUUUUCUUUUAUUGUAGGAAAUGUACACAAAAAACUCUUAAAGUCAGAAAGCCUUAAUAUUUUUGCUUGUGAAUUGUUUUUUGCCUCCGAAAACCUUCUGUGAUGAGUUGCAUCAAUUAAUGGCAUUGCCUCCAAAAACCUUCUGUCAUGAAUUGUUUUUAGUGGGGUAGUGAUCCAGAUUCAAGGAAAAUUCAUUGGAGGGUGUGAGAUAAAUUGUGCAUUGCUAAACAGGAAGGUGAUAUGGGUUUCCAAAAUCUUUAUGCUUUUAAUUUGGCGGUGUGGAGCAAAAAAUAAUUAAGAAAAUUAUGAAAGCGACACGUGUACUUUUGGGUGAAAAUGACAAAAUUACCCUUGAACCACACCGGGAUUCCCAUGCGCAUGCAACGGACAAUAAUGGCUCAAUCAAGGAAGAGUCAAAGGUGAUCAAAAUGGUAUUUAUUCAAAACCCUCUCAUCACUCCUCAUCAAAUCCUCACUCAAAAGGUAACUCCCAAUUUUCUUAUUCAAUUUGGGAUUAAUUACCAAGUUAAUUGCAAUUACACUCACAAUUUGACCAUAUGUGGCCGGCCCCUAUUCUCCAAAUAGGACCAGUCACUCCCCUGUAAAUAGAUGUGCUUUCCCACUAAAAUGCUAGGCCAUUCUCUCUCCAAAAAUUCCUAAACACUUUCUUUCUCAAAUUCUAAUUUUGGCAUCGGAGAUUCUUCGGGCAAAGCCCCCCUCCUAUUCAUCGUGGGCACGUGAGGCUUUUGGCCUUAAUCGUAGGUGUUAUUAUUUUGCAAGUGCAUUUUCGUCAAGGGAGAAGAUGACGGAAAUUUGCAUCCACAAAUUGGUGCUUUCAUUGAGAGUUUGAUUCACACGCUCGAAGAAGACUCUCUCAUUCAAAGUUUCUCAUUUCUUGUUCGUUCGUAAAUUUUUCAUACUUUCUUAUUCCUAUAAUUUUUUAAUUCUUUGAAUAGAGGUAAAGGAAAAAUAAAAUUAUGGGAAAUUCGGAAACCACGAUGAACGGAACUUCCUACGUUUAAAUAUCUGGAUCAAAUGAUGAAGGACGAAACGUAGCCCCACCACGACAAUCCACGAGGCUCAACGCAAUGGCAAGAGAAGCAACUUUGCCACCACAAAGCACCACCACCAUGGCAGCCACGGGGACCACUGUGGCAGUGGGGAGUGGGCUAGCUCUGUGGCAGCGGGACCAUCAGGCCAUGGCCCAAGAUGAGAAAGCCAUGUAGGCAGCCCAGCUU
This 2265-nucleotide long non-coding RNA is filed under the name Malus domestica (apple). RNAcentral's name for it is "long non-coding RNA (MDOM_LNC015777)". Lineage: Eukaryota; Viridiplantae; Streptophyta; Magnoliopsida; Rosales; Rosaceae. The record is from RNAcentral.